CGGAGGGUGCAAGCGUUAUCCGGAUUUACUGGGUUUAAAGGGUGUGUAGGCGGGCUUUUAAGUCAGUGGUGAAGUCUCCGGGCUCAACCUGGAAACUGCCAUUGAUACUAUUAGUCUUGAAUUUUGUUGAGGUAGGCGGAAUAAGUCAUGUAGCGGUGAAAUGCAUAGAUAUGACUUAGAACACCAAUUGCGAAGGCAGCUUGCUAAACAAAUAUUGAUGCUGAGGCACGAAAGCGUGGGGAUCAAACAGGAUUAGAUACCCUGGUAGUCCACGCCCUAAACGAUGAUUACUCGACAUACGCGAUACACAGUGUGUGUCUGAGCGAAAGCAUUAAGUAAUCCACCUGGGAAGUACGACCGCAAGGUUG
Molecule: ribosomal RNA, 368 nt
Filed under: uncultured organism
Description: bacterial SSU rRNA
Rfam family: Bacterial small subunit ribosomal RNA
Source: RNAcentral